Molecule: non-coding RNA, 432 nt
Organism: Prunus avium (sweet cherry)
Lineage: Eukaryota; Viridiplantae; Streptophyta; Magnoliopsida; Rosales; Rosaceae
Source: RefSeq, a predicted model, not a curated record
CCCCACCCCCCACCCCAGUUGCCUUUGAAUCGGAUUUGUCAUUUGUGACAUUGCCCCACGAGUAUCGGGGAUGCCUGAAUCGUGUGGUGCGAGGAAUGCGGCUCAGGCUAACUAAUGGUCCCCUGAGGCCUACGAGGAAUGUGGCUUGGGUUGGUUUUGUGUUCCCGAGGCCUAUGAGGAAUGCGGCUCGGAUUGAUUUUGUGUUACUGAGGCAUGCGAGGAUGUGUCAUAUAAGGUGGCACAAGGAAUUGACGGAAUAUGGAUGGGGAUCAGGUCGACUAAACGUCCCCGGAGUCCUGCGAGGAUUGCGGCUUGGGUCAACUCUGUGUUACCGAGACUUGCGAGGACAUGUCACAAACUAUGACACGAGGAAUUGACGUAUAAUGAUAGGCACACCUAGGUUGAAGAGAAAUCUUUUUUUGGCAGUGUUUU